Molecule: ribosomal RNA, 218 nt
Filed under: Klebsiella pneumoniae
Lineage: Bacteria; Pseudomonadati; Pseudomonadota; Gammaproteobacteria; Enterobacterales; Enterobacteriaceae
Also listed under: 2 other names
Description: partial 16S ribosomal RNA
Rfam family: Bacterial small subunit ribosomal RNA
Source: RNAcentral
AAAACUCAAAUGAAUUGACGGGGGCCCGCACAAGCGGUGGAGCAUGUGGUUUAAUUCGAUGCAACGCGAAGAACCUUACCUGGUCUUGACAUCCACAGAACUUUCCAGAGAUGGAUUGGUGCCUUCGGGAACUGUGAGACAGGUGCUGCAUGGCUGUCGUCAGCUCGUGUUGUGAAAUGUUGGGUUAAGUCCCGCAACGAGCGCAACCCUUAUCCUUU